UACGAAGGGGGCUAGCGUUGUUCGGAAUUACUGGGCGUAAAGGGCGCGUAGGCGGUUCUUUAAGUCAGGCGUGAAAGCCCCGGGCUCAACCGGGGAACUGCGUCCGAUACUGGAGGGCUCGAAUCCGGGAGAGGGAUGUGGAAUUCCAGGUGUAGCGGUGAAAUGCGUAGAUAUCUGGAGGAACACCGGUGGCGAAGGCGGCCAUCUGGAUCAACACUGACGCUGAGGCACGAAAGCGUGGGGAGCGAACAGG
RNAcentral lists this ribosomal RNA (253 nucleotides) under uncultured bacterium. RNAcentral describes it as "partial 16S ribosomal RNA". It matches the Rfam family "Bacterial small subunit ribosomal RNA", at positions 524 to 776 of the family's 1533-position model. The record is from RNAcentral.